AGUCGUACGAGAGUUUUUAACUCAAGUGGCGGACGGGUGAGUAACACGUAAGAAUUUGCCUUUAGGAGGGGGACAACAACUGGAAACGGUUGCUAAUACCCCAUAUGCUUUCGAGUGAAAUGGAUUUUUCCGCCUAGAGAGAAGCUUGCGGCUGAUUAGCUUGUUGGUGAGGUAAUGGCUCGCCAAGGCGACGAUCAGUAUCUGGUUUGAGAGGACGAUCAGACACACUGGAACUGAGACACGGUCCAGACUCCUACGGGAGGCAGCAGUGGGGAAUUUUCCGCAAUGGGCGAAAGCCUGACGGAGCAAUACCGCGUGAGGGAUGACGGCCUAUGGGUUGUAAACCUCUUUUUUCAGGGAGGAAUAAAAUGACGUGUACCUGAAGAAUAAGCAUCGGCUAACUCCGUGCCAGCAGCCGCGGUAAGACGGAGGAUGCAAGUGUUAUCCGGAAUCACUGGGCGUAAAGCGUCUGUAGGUGGUCCAAUAAGUCAACUGUUAAAUCUUGAGGCUCAACCUCAAAACCGCAGUCGAAACUAUUAGACUAGAGUAUAGUA
RNAcentral lists this ribosomal RNA (554 nucleotides) under uncultured phototrophic eukaryote. Its description in RNAcentral is "bacterial SSU rRNA". It matches the Rfam family "Bacterial small subunit ribosomal RNA", at positions 60 to 653 of the family's 1533-position model. The record is from RNAcentral.